CGAACGGCCGGCAGCCCGGCUCGCGCUGCAUCCGAACGGCCGGCAGCCCGGCUCGCGUGGGGUAGUCCGAGCAGCUGGCGCUUCGCACCGGCUCUUUCUGCUCUGUGCCGCCGCUCCGGCGCUGCUCGUGCCAGGCGGGAAGAGCGCCGGGAGCGGGAUGGAUGCCUGCCGUUCUGCCUCCUCUUGCCUCGUGUCGGGAAAUGGAGGCAAGCGCCGUGCCCGGGCUCGAGGCAGGGAAUUGCACCAGUGGCGGCAGCUGCCGCCUCCCCGGCAGGGUGCGCAGGCCUCGCCGCGUCCGGGCGGCGGCGAGGAGGAGGAGGAGGAGGAGGCCGGGGCUGCCGGACCCGUGCGGUCCUGCAGGUGCCGGCGAGGCAGGGGACGGCACAGCCCCUGCUCCGGCUUCGAGUCAACGCUUUCAGAGUCCUAAAAGCAAAGCUGGAGAUUCGGAGGGAGCAGCCAGCAGCCCCGCGCACCCCUGCAGGGGCUAAAACCAGCCAUCAGGCCAAAAAAGAAAAGGAAAGCGGAGCCGGGCGUCCGAGGUCAGCAGAUCCCAGCCGGCACCCCGGGCGAGAGGUCCUGGCAGCGGGGUACCGUCGCCUCCGGGACGCGCGGGCAGCGCUGAAGCCUCGCCGUCUCUCACGCCACAACGUCUGUAGCGCUGCAGGCGGGCAGGUCCCGGGAUGGGGCUCGGCRCCGGCGCGCCGUCACACGGGGACCGGCCUCAGCUUCCCUGGAAAGGAGCCCCAGCGGGGUUAGGCCGCGGCGGAGGCGGCCGGCGCAUGAGGCCCCGGCGUUUUGGCACCCCUGAGGCCCGAGCGGCCGCCACCGCGGCCCAGCCAAGCCCCCUCGCCAUUAAAGCGUGCGCCGAAGYGGCGCCCUCCACCGGCACCGCUGCCCUCGGCCCGGCUUCCUCGCUCGCCCRCCCGCACUCACCUGGAGGCCGGGGCUGCCCCUAAUUCACGCUGAAAUCAAARGGGAGAGAGAGGUUCGUCGCCGGCUCGGGGCCGGGCCCGGGCGGCAUUUUGGUCCCACGUCCCCCCUCCCCGGCGCCGCGGUUCGGAGCAGCGGGGCGGCUUCCGCUUCGCUCGCGGGCCUCUGCCCGCUGAUUAGCGCUUGGCCGACGAGCCGACUGCGCAGGCCGG
This 1142-nucleotide long non-coding RNA is filed under the name Apteryx haastii (Great spotted kiwi). RNAcentral describes it as "lncRNA (ENSAHAG00000008486.1)". The record is from RNAcentral. Lineage: Eukaryota; Metazoa; Chordata; Aves; Apterygiformes; Apterygidae.